This 119-nucleotide ribosomal RNA is filed under the name Lupinus angustifolius (narrow-leaved blue lupine). The record is from RNAcentral. Lineage: Eukaryota; Viridiplantae; Streptophyta; Magnoliopsida; Fabales; Fabaceae.
AGGUGCGAUCAUACUAGCACAAACGCAUCGGAUCCCUUCAGAACUCCGCAACUAAGUGUGCUCUGGAGAGAGUAGUACUAGGAUGGGUGACCUCUUGGGAAGUCCUCGUGUUGCACCUC